AGAAUCAACGCUGGCGGCGUGCCUAACACAUGCAAGUCGAACGAGAAAGUGGAGCAAUCCAUAAGUAAAGUGGCGCACGGGUGAGUAACACGUGACUAACCUACCCUUGAGUGGGGGAUAACCUAGGGAAACCUGGGCUAAUACCGCAUAAUACCUUCGGGUCAAAGGAGCAAUUCGCUUAAGGAGGGGGUCGCGGCCGAUUAGUUAGUUGGCGGGGUAAUGGCCCACCAAGACUAUGAUCGGUAUCCGGCCUGAGAGGGCGCACGGACACACUGGAACUGAAACACGGUCCAGACUCCUACGGGAGGCAGCAGUGGGGAAUUUUGCGCAAUGGGGGAAACCCUGACGCAGCAACGCCGCGUGGAGGAUGAAGUCCCUUGGGACGUAAACUCCUUUCGAUCGGGACGAUUAUGACGGUACCGAGAGAAGAAGCCCCGGCUAACUUCGCGCCAGCAGCCGC
Molecule: ribosomal RNA, 460 nt
Filed under: uncultured bacterium
Lineage: Bacteria
Description: SSU rRNA
Rfam family: Bacterial small subunit ribosomal RNA
Source: RNAcentral